GAUGAGUAGAGCCUAGUAAGCAGUGCGUCGCUCCAGUCGUGGGGAAUUCAAUGGUGUAAAAGAGAGGAGCGAGACGUUCACUAUCAGCUGACCCGUAGCCAGCAUGGGUCGGCGCUCCUCUGACAGCGAGGAUGACAGUCGGAGCCGGAGGAAAAGAAAACAGCGUCGCCGUUCUUCGUCCUCCUCGUCUUCCUCCUCUUCUGGGAGCCGGGUGAGGAGUAGUCGCAGCAGGAG
Poecilia reticulata (guppy) is the source of this 234-nucleotide non-coding RNA. The record is from RefSeq and is a predicted model, not a curated record. Lineage: Eukaryota; Metazoa; Chordata; Actinopteri; Cyprinodontiformes; Poeciliidae.